Lycium barbarum (goji berry) is the source of this 8714-nucleotide long non-coding RNA. RefSeq lists it as uncharacterized. NCBI's taxonomy places the organism in Eukaryota, Viridiplantae, Streptophyta, Magnoliopsida, Solanales, Solanaceae. The record is from RefSeq and is a predicted model, not a curated record. The transcript has 2 exons.
CCAUAAUAAUCUGUGCUACUUGUAUUAAAACAAGAAAGAAUGAGUUAAGAAGGUUCAAGGAAAGUUAAUCGAGUUAGUAAGAAUAUCGUUAUAUAUACAUGGUUUCCUUAAGUAUCCCAAGGCGACACGGUUACCUAAAGGGUGUGGAAUCGCGCUAUGAGUAUGUAUAUGAAGUAAUGCGAGUGACCUUUUAAAGUAUUUGAGAUUAUUAGUAAUGAUAUAGAGGGUGGACAAAAGAUAUGAAUAUACUUUUGCGAUUGGAGUUUCGUCAAAGCUUUGUGAGUUCUCUAGUUAUGUUUAAGGUUAUUGUGAGUCUCUGGACCCUUCAAGAUGUGUAUAUGGAUUUUUUUAUUGAUGUAUAUAAGUGUGUAUAUGUAUGCAUAAGAGGUUACAUAAGGUUGGAAGAGGAUUAGAAGUUAAACGAAAUGAAUCGGAACAACUUCAGUAAAAUUUCGGACCCGAUUUUAGUCUAUAUUGUAGGAGGCAUAUCUCCUUGAAUAUGAGGAGUUUUAAGGUGUUUCAAAAUCCUAAAAUGAAGUUCAUCGAGUCUAGUUUGUAAUGCAACAAACCGCUCGUCAAAAUGAUAUCGGGAUAAGGAGAUAUGGACGAUGCAAGUUGGGCUGGCAGGGCAGCAAGUUUGGACCCGACCCAAACACUCACAUUUCGGCCCAUGAGGCCCAUUAAACUCAAUAGAUAAGUCACCACUUUGCCCUAUAUCAUUUCACACGACCUAAAACAGAUCCAAAACCCUUAUUUUCUCUCCCAAACCCCCUUUCUAAUUGAGCCAUCAUAUAAGCUAAAUCCUAGACCCUUGACAUGAUAUUAGUUAAAGAGAAGUUGUAGCUUAAGUUUUUUUUUGUGUUGUUAAGCAAGCAGCUGGAAAGAGGAACAAGAUUCUUGAAGAUUCUGAUUGCUAAAGGUAAUUUCAACCUCCCACUCAUGUUAUCAAUUUGGAUUAAAGGUUUAAUAUGGUGUAUACGUGAAGGAAACGUUGAUAUACAAGCUAGAGAGAGAGAGAGCAUAAGCCAUGGCAUUCGGCCAUGGCUAGCAAAAUUGGAGCUCAAAUUUGUUGAUCCAAAAAUCAGAUUUUCUAGGUAUUUCAUCCCUUAGGAAGGUGAUAAUAACGUGGAGAAUUCAUUUGGAGCAACAAGAACAAGUAUUAGUGCAUUUCACAAAUUCUAGCUAAGUGGAAAAAGCCAACUUGUUAAGGUAAGAGUUGAUCAUUUUUCUAUGUGUUUGAUGAUGAAGUUGGACGUGUGGGGAAUAUGCAAAUGUAAAUUGUAUGUGUGAAAUUAUGUAUCUUGAUGUUGAAGCAUAGUUGUAACUUGGUAACAUGAAUUGCACGAAUGUUGGAAUGUUGUUGAAAUGUUGUUGAAUGCCGUAGGGGCUGUUUUUAAUUGAAAUUUGAUGGACUGAUUUGAAUUAAUAUUUUGGUUGUUGUAAUCAUAGAUUAUGUGAUGAGAAUGAAGGAAUUUAAUGGUUAGAGUUGGAGUUAAAAUUGUUGUGGGUUGUUGUAAGGAUUAUAGAGAUAAUAAUGUGAUUUACUUGCAUAUGGAUAGAUGAUGUGGUGUCGUGUGGCUGCUGUUGUAUUUCCCUGAAAUUUGCUGAAAAGAUGGCAUGAAAUAAGUCGUAAGAAGUGUAUAUGGGCUGCUUGGUGUGUUGUAAGUGUUCGUUAGAAUUUCGGGCAUCGUUAUGUUAUAGUUUAGGGGCUGUUUUCGGCCCAAUUUGGAGAAAUUGUUGGAUCGUUGGAAAUAUUAUGUGAAUUGUUUAGAAUGUUCUUGAAUGUUGUUAGUAUGGGUUUGGGUUAGUAUUUGGAUGUAUAGGCGUUGAUGUUGGCUUGAAGGUAAGCCGUUGAAUUAAAUAUUUGGAAAGUUGUCGAAUGAUGAAAAAGAGAGUAUUAAUGUAAUAUUGUCUUUCGGAUUGGUUAUUGGAGUUGCUAGGUUGGUUAUUGUGGUUGUUGUUGUUGAUUUUGAGCGAGUUAAAUUCUCGGGAUGGCCUAUUUACAGGGGAAGUGCUGCCGAAUUUUCUGUAGAAUUUAAUGUUAGUUUGGAAUGAAUGGCUUAAGUGCCUAUGUUUAAUAUUGGAUAUUCGUUGGCAUAUUUGUAGACCUUGGGGAGCCCGAGGCGUAGAUUGGAAUUUACUUUAGAUUGGCUAUCUUGGAGUGCGUACGAGGUAUGUAAAGCGCAACCCUUCUUUCUUUUGGCAUGCCUUAGUUUUCAAUAGGCUAUAUCACGAGCCUCGAGGAAAUUCCAAAUUCGAAAUCCGAGCACGUUAUGAUCCUUAUAUAUAUUUCUUGGCAUUCUUAUGUAUGUUGUGAUGAAGUAUGAACAAUUAUGUCUUCGAAAGCAUUGAUUUCCAAACUUUGUACAAAAAGUUGUUUUAAAGAAUUCCGUAACUACGAAAUGCCAUAUCUUUUGCAUAAAGGCUCGGAUUGCUCCAAUAUUUUCAUAAGAGUUUGCAUGAUGUAUAAUGAGUAUGUUUUCCAUGAGCGGGCCCGAUUCGGGUCGAUACCCGUUCGUGGGUCCCGCGACUUUUCUUUAUGUAAUUCGGACGACUUUUGAAAGAAUUUGGUAUGAUUAUCAUUUCGAAUUUCAAAUAUGAUCAUUUUACUUAUGUUUGAAUUUAUGAUAAUGAUUUUAUGCAUAUGACUACUCUAUUAACUACUAAACAAAAAUUGUUUUAAAUAGUUCAUUAAGUCUUAUAAAUUGUUUUGGCCCUCGGAACGACUUCAGAAAGGUAUGCUUCUGUAAUUCAUUAUGACAUCCGAAACUCACUUAUUAUGAUCCCGUCUGACUUCAUUGAAUUGGUUUGCCAUUGAUAUGCCUCAUCGAGUCUCUGAAAAUAUUUAUGAUAUUUUAACUGCAUUUAGUUUCUCACUACUCUAUUCGUGGAUGCCCCAAUGUUUCCCACACUGAGCCCGGGCCAGGAUAUGUUGUCAAGCGUAAUCCUCUGCAUUGUUCGCCGUGCCUCGAUGUGAGGGGGCAGGUAUACGUGUACAUGGGUUUGUGGAGUAUGCUGUGCCAUGUACACAUGUUCUGAUAUGAUUUGCCAUGGCCAUCUGAUAUGAUAUACUAUGUUACGGGGUUAUGCCCCUAUUCUGAUUCUUCUGUGUUGUGGCACCAGCGUCGGGAGGGUGGCCACGUUCUGUUUGCCGAGUCCCUUGGCAGGGGCCGGAUUUGAUAUGACAUAUGUUUCUGUACACACUCCGCAUGUUUUGAAGAUAUGUAUUUGAUACUUUGGAUUUUCUACUCACUUUUUCUGUACGUUCUGUACCAGUUAUGAUUUUGGUUCUGUAAUUCAGGCUUUACAUAUUCAGUACAUAUUUCGUACUGACCCCCUUUCUUCGGGGGCUGCGUUUUCAUGCCGCGCAGGUACCGACGACAGGUUUGCUGAUCCGUCCGUCUAGGAUAUCUUUUCUGCCAUUUGGAGCGCUCUUUUAUUCAGAGCCCAUCUUUUGGUACAGUCUGUCACUACUGUAUAUAUAUAUAUAUAUUCUCGUUCAUGGGUACGGCGGGGCCCUGUCCCGUUAUAUGAUUCCGUCGGUCUGUUUAGAGGUCUGUAGACAUGUUUGUGGGUUAGGGUCUUUCUGUACGGAUGCGUGUAUAUGUUGUGUUUGGGCGAUCUCAUUCGCCGCGGCGGCCGGUCCGCAUAUGUUUAAAUGUUGCUUUGUUGGCCCUGGGUGGUCAUUGUUGGUAUUAUCUGUGCGCAGGGUUAAUUUGGAUAGUCUGUAAAACAAAGGAAACUCUGCCGAAAUUUUUCUGGAAAUUAUCUAAAUAUUGAAAUAUAGCCUUGUCGGCUUCUGCUAUAUACUUGAAUGCGUUUGAUAAUAUUCGUUCUCAACUCUGUUUAAAAAUGAUGAUUUAGUUUGUAUGUCCGUUUGGGUGCCCAAGUAGGGCACCAGUCGCGGCCCACGGGGCUGGGUCGUGACAGAAGUGGUAUCAGAGCAGUUCGUCCUCGGAAUGUCUACAGACCGUGUCUAGUAGAGUCUUGUUUAUCGGUGUGUUGUGCACCACAUCUAUAAACAUGAGGCUACAGGACAUUUAGGGUGUUGCCUUUUUUUCAUAUCUAAGAUCGUGCGAUAGAGCCCAGUCAUAGGAAAUGAAAUUCUUUAUACUAACAUUUGAUUUCAACUGAAGAACGACAUCGACAGAAGAAAGUGAUUGAUGAUAUUGAAAGUUUCAAAGUACGCAGGUAAGCAAAGGUACGAAAGGUAUAAGUCGAGUAAGGUAUGGAAGUGCGAUUGAAAUGUAAAGUUGAAAAUUGAAAGAGAAAGUAUAACAGGUGCAGUUUGAGUUGGGCAUACGAGGUAUGUUCAUCACUUUUAUACUGUUGUUAAUAUUGGGAGCCCUGUGUGGCUAUGAUAUGAUAUGAUGUGUAUAUACGUAUAAAUGUUGUCCCUGUGAGGCAUUGUUGGUAUUUCCUGCGUGGAGGUUUUGGGAUAGUAAGAAGUACAGAGAAAACUCUGCCCAAAUUUUCCCAGAAAUAGAAAAAGAGAAUGAGACAUAGGUUUGUAAUAUGUUUUGAAAGGUUGUGUCAAUAGUAAGGAUAUGAUUUGACUAAUUUGCCAAUAUGGCUGACCUCGAGAAAUAAGUUGACUGCCGAAUCGAUGGUAAUAGUAAUUGGGAAGUCGAUAUCGAUAUGGUAAAAAGAAUAAUUUGGAAAGGGUUUAUGAUACUAAGAGAUGAUUUAGAAAAAGGCUGGAUAAUCUUGAUAAAGUGUUAUAGUAAGGUACCGACUGAAUUGAUAAGCAAGGAAAAAAAAUUAUGACGAGUUUAUAGUAAAAGAAGUAGUAGUAUGAUUAAGAUGAGAGUACAGAGGAAAAUGAAUUGUGACGGAUGCGAAUGUAUUGGUAAAACAGGCUGUGAGGUUGUGAAGGAUAAGAUUGACUAGGAACGGUGAAAGGUUAAGUAUGCUUAUACAACACUAAUGUAACAUUCGAGGACGAAUGUUCCUAAGGGGGGAAGAAUGUUACACUCCAUAAUAAUCUGUGCUACUUGUAUUAAAACAAGAAAGAAUGAGUUAAGAAGGUUCAAGGAAAGUUAAUCGAGUUAGUAAGAAUAUCGUUAUAUAUACAUGGUUUCCUUAAGUAUCCCAAGGCGACACGGUUACCUAAAGGGUGUGGAAUCGCGCUAUGAGUAUGUAUAUGAAGUAAUGCGAGUGACCUUUUAAAGUAUUUGAGAUUAUUAGUAAUGAUAUAGAGGGUGGACAAAAGAUAUGAAUAUACUUUUGCGAUUGGAGUUUCGUCAAAGCUUUGUGAGUUCUCUAGUUAUGUUUAAGGUUAUUGUGAGUCUCUGGACCCUUCAAGAUGUGUAUAUGGAUUUUUUUAUUGAUGUAUAUAAGUGUGUAUAUGUAUGCAUAAGAGGUUACAUAAGGUUGGAAGAGGAUUAGAAGUUAAACGAAAUGAAUCGGAACAACUUCAGUAAAAUUUCGGACCCGAUUUUAGUCUAUAUUGUAGGAGGCAUAUCUCCUUGAAUAUGAGGAGUUUUAAGGUGUUUCAAAAUCCUAAAAUGAAGUUCAUCGAGUCUAGUUUGUAAUGCAACAAACCGCUCGUCAAAAUGAUAUCGGGAUAAGGAGAUAUGGACGAUGCAAGUUGGGCUGGCAGGGCAGCAAGUUUGGACCCGACCCAAACACUCACAUUUCGGCCCAUGAGGCCCAUUAAACUCAAUAGAUAAGUCACCACUUUGCCCUAUAUCAUUUCACACGACCUAAAACAGAUCCAAAACCCUUAUUUUCUCUCCCAAACCCCCUUUCUAAUUGAGCCAUCAUAUAAGCUAAAUCCUAGACCCUUGACAUGAUAUUAGUUAAAGAGAAGUUGUAGCUUAAGUUUUUUUUUGUGUUGUUAAGCAAGCAGCUGGAAAGAGGAACAAGAUUCUUGAAGAUUCUGAUUGCUAAAGGAAACGUUGAUAUACAAGCUAGAGAGAGAGAGAGCAUAAGCCAUGGCAUUCGGCCAUGGCUAGCAAAAUUGGAGCUCAAAUUUGUUGAUCCAAAAAUCAGAUUUUCUAGGUAUUUCAUCCCUUAGGAAGGUGAUAAUAACGUGGAGAAUUCAUUUGGAGCAACAAGAACAAGUAUUAGUGCAUUUCACAAAUUCUAGCUAAGUGGAAAAAGCCAACUUGUUAAGGUAAGAGUUGAUCAUUUUUCUAUGUGUUUGAUGAUGAAGUUGGACGUGUGGGGAAUAUGCAAAUGUAAAUUGUAUGUGUGAAAUUAUGUAUCUUGAUGUUGAAGCAUAGUUGUAACUUGGUAACAUGAAUUGCACGAAUGUUGGAAUGUUGUUGAAAUGUUGUUGAAUGCCGUAGGGGCUGUUUUUAAUUGAAAUUUGAUGGACUGAUUUGAAUUAAUAUUUUGGUUGUUGUAAUCAUAGAUUAUGUGAUGAGAAUGAAGGAAUUUAAUGGUUAGAGUUGGAGUUAAAAUUGUUGUGGGUUGUUGUAAGGAUUAUAGAGAUAAUAAUGUGAUUUACUUGCAUAUGGAUAGAUGAUGUGGUGUCGUGUGGCUGCUGUUGUAUUUCCCUGAAAUUUGCUGAAAAGAUGGCAUGAAAUAAGUCGUAAGAAGUGUAUAUGGGCUGCUUGGUGUGUUGUAAGUGUUCGUUAGAAUUUCGGGCAUCGUUAUGUUAUAGUUUAGGGGCUGUUUUCGGCCCAAUUUGGAGAAAUUGUUGGAUCGUUGGAAAUAUUAUGUGAAUUGUUUAGAAUGUUCUUGAAUGUUGUUAGUAUGGGUUUGGGUUAGUAUUUGGAUGUAUAGGCGUUGAUGUUGGCUUGAAGGUAAGCCGUUGAAUUAAAUAUUUGGAAAGUUGUCGAAUGAUGAAAAAGAGAGUAUUAAUGUAAUAUUGUCUUUCGGAUUGGUUAUUGGAGUUGCUAGGUUGGUUAUUGUGGUUGUUGUUGUUGAUUUUGAGCGAGUUAAAUUCUCGGGAUGGCCUAUUUACAGGGGAAGUGCUGCCGAAUUUUCUGUAGAAUUUAAUGUUAGUUUGGAAUGAAUGGCUUAAGUGCCUAUGUUUAAUAUUGGAUAUUCGUUGGCAUAUUUGUAGACCUUGGGGAGCCCGAGGCGUAGAUUGGAAUUUACUUUAGAUUGGCUAUCUUGGAGUGCGUACGAGGUAUGUAAAGCGCAACCCUUCUUUCUUUUGGCAUGCCUUAGUUUUCAAUAGGCUAUAUCACGAGCCUCGAGGAAAUUCCAAAUUCGAAAUCCGAGCACGUUAUGAUCCUUAUAUAUAUUUCUUGGCAUUCUUAUGUAUGUUGUGAUGAAGUAUGAACAAUUAUGUCUUCGAAAGCAUUGAUUUCCAAACUUUGUACAAAAAGUUGUUUUAAAGAAUUCCGUAACUACGAAAUGCCAUAUCUUUUGCAUAAAGGCUCGGAUUGCUCCAAUAUUUUCAUAAGAGUUUGCAUGAUGUAUAAUGAGUAUGUUUUCCAUGAGCGGGCCCGAUUCGGGUCGAUACCCGUUCGUGGGUCCCGCGACUUUUCUUUAUGUAAUUCGGACGACUUUUGAAAGAAUUUGGUAUGAUUAUCAUUUCGAAUUUCAAAUAUGAUCAUUUUACUUAUGUUUGAAUUUAUGAUAAUGAUUUUAUGCAUAUGACUACUCUAUUAACUACUAAACAAAAAUUGUUUUAAAUAGUUCAUUAAGUCUUAUAAAUUGUUUUGGCCCUCGGAACGACUUCAGAAAGGUAUGCUUCUGUAAUUCAUUAUGACAUCCGAAACUCACUUAUUAUGAUCCCGUCUGACUUCAUUGAAUUGGUUUGCCAUUGAUAUGCCUCAUCGAGUCUCUGAAAAUAUUUAUGAUAUUUUAACUGCAUUUAGUUUCUCACUACUCUAUUCGUGGAUGCCCCAAUGUUUCCCACACUGAGCCCGGGCCAGGAUAUGUUGUCAAGCGUAAUCCUCUGCAUUGUUCGCCGUGCCUCGAUGUGAGGGGGCAGGUAUACGUGUACAUGGGUUUGUGGAGUAUGCUGUGCCAUGUACACAUGUUCUGAUAUGAUUUGCCAUGGCCAUCUGAUAUGAUAUACUAUGUUACGGGGUUAUGCCCCUAUUCUGAUUCUUCUGUGUUGUGGCACCAGCGUCGGGAGGGUGGCCACGUUCUGUUUGCCGAGUCCCUUGGCAGGGGCCGGAUUUGAUAUGACAUAUGUUUCUGUACACACUCCGCAUGUUUUGAAGAUAUGUAUUUGAUACUUUGGAUUUUCUACUCACUUUUUCUGUACGUUCUGUACCAGUUAUGAUUUUGGUUCUGUAAUUCAGGCUUUACAUAUUCAGUACAUAUUUCGUACUGACCCCCUUUCUUCGGGGGCUGCGUUUUCAUGCCGCGCAGGUACCGACGACAGGUUUGCUGAUCCGUCCGUCUAGGAUAUCUUUUCUGCCAUUUGGAGCGCUCUUUUAUUCAGAGCCCAUCUUUUGGUACAGUCUGUCACUACUGUAUAUAUAUAUAUAUAUUCUCGUUCAUGGGUACGGCGGGGCCCUGUCCCGUUAUAUGAUUCCGUCGGUCUGUUUAGAGGUCUGUAGACAUGUUUGUGGGUUAGGGUCUUUCUGUACGGAUGCGUGUAUAUGUUGUGUUUGGGCGAUCUCAUUCGCCGCGGCGGCCGGUCCGCAUAUGUUUAAAUGUUGCUUUGUUGGCCCUGGGUGGUCAUUGUUGGUAUUAUCUGUGCGCAGGGUUAAUUUGGAUAGUCUGUAAAACAAAGGAAACUCUGCCGAAAUUUUUCUGGAAAUUAUCUAAAUAUUGAAAUAUAGCCUUGUCGGCUUCUGCUA